Molecule: unclassified non-coding RNA, 147 nt
Organism: Pongo abelii (Sumatran orangutan)
Lineage: Eukaryota; Metazoa; Chordata; Mammalia; Primates; Hominidae
Rfam family: Metazoan signal recognition particle RNA
About the family: The signal recognition particle (SRP) is a universally conserved ribonucleoprotein. It is involved in the co-translational targeting of proteins to membranes.
Source: Ensembl
GCCGGGCAUGGUAGCGUGUGCCUGUAAUCCCAGCUACUCAGGAGGCUGAGGCAGGAGAAUUGCUUGAACCUGGGAGGUAGGAUUGCAGUGAGCUGAGAUCACACCACUGCACUCCAGCCUGGGUGACAGAGCGAGACCCUGUCUCAA